AAUUCCCUCUAGAUAGGCGGAACAAGGCUUGUUCCGCCUUCUCACUCGAAGGGUAGGCGGUGGAAUUUUGCCAAUUUGGAUCUCGCCGAUCUCAACAGCGGAAUUAUAGGAGGUAGCGAUCUUUCAGGCGAGCAAUUUCAUCCCCAAAUUUAUUUAUCUUACUUCUUUCCCUCCAAUUUUUCCCUCUAAAAAGUUCCCUCUACUUUUCCCCAGCUAUUAAUAGGAGUAUUUUAGGAGAACAAGAGAAGAAUUUUCAGGCAAAUGGGAUCUCAAGUGACGGGAGGCAAAGAAAAUAGAGGUCCUGUUAAUUGGAGGCUCAACAGGCACCAUGCUUGAUGUUUACUUAGGGGAGUCUCAGGUUAUACAUCAACAAAGUGCUGGGUUAAUCAUAGACAUGCACAACUACGCAAUGCAGUGGAGAAGGCAUGGGGAAUUUUAAAGCAAAGAUUCAAAAUUUUGAAAGUUCUAGCUCCAUUUCCUUAUAAAACUCAAGUCAAAAUCGUCAUAGCUUGUUGUGUUCUUCAUAAUUUUAUUGCAAGGCAUCAUGGAAAUGAUAAAUACUUUAAUAUGCUCAAUGUAUUAGAGAUGAAUGAGGAUGAAGAUGAGGAGGAAGAAGAAGACCCCCAAUACAUGGUUGGUGCAGAUGAAAGUUUAAGGGGUGAGCAACUCCGCAAUAGAACUGCUUUACAGCUUUGGAAUAAUUGAUAUUUGUAGUUGUCGAAUAUCAAAGUAUAAGGAGGUCCCAUUAUGUCUUGUUUUCUUAUAUGUCCCAUUGUGUCGAAUAUUAAAGCAUAAGUUAUUGUUAUGCUUAGAUGUGAUAUGAUGAACCUGUAAUAAGGUAAAUCUCUUGAGUAUUGUUGUUGCUGUUGUUUGCAAGUAGCU
Molecule: long non-coding RNA, 882 nt
Organism: Asparagus officinalis (garden asparagus)
Lineage: Eukaryota; Viridiplantae; Streptophyta; Magnoliopsida; Asparagales; Asparagaceae
Exons: 3
Source: RefSeq, a predicted model, not a curated record